UGGAAGUGAUGAAAUAGAGAUAAUUGGAUGUCUCUUUGAAUGGAGUGUGGGUGAGGAAUGGAGUCAGAUGGGGUGGGAGGAUGGGGAGUGUGUGUGUGUGUGCUUGUAGAGAAAAGGCUUUAAUGGGGGCACUGAUAACGAGGUGCUGAUUCCGGAGUGCAUCUGAGGCAUGUUGUUAAAUUCUGGGUCCUGUUUAUCAACAUUGCCGAUGAUUAAAGCCCAAGACAAGCUCACCAAGACAAGCCUAGGCAUCUUAAAUCUCUGACAGGUUCGUUAAUGAAAAUGAUCCUGUGAUCUGAUCCAA
Molecule: small nucleolar RNA, 304 nt
Filed under: Callipepla squamata (scaled quail)
Lineage: Eukaryota; Metazoa; Chordata; Aves; Galliformes; Odontophoridae
Description: Small Cajal body-specific RNA 7
Rfam family: Small Cajal body-specific RNA 7
Source: Rfam by way of RNAcentral